CACCGUCGACAUAUGCUGCCGCCUUUUACUCUAACCCUCAACAUUCGACUCCGCCUUUCAUCAGCCUGAUUUUGAGGCCACCGCGUCCUCCAAGGAACUAUUCAGGUAAAGAUUAAAGAUUGAUUUCUUUUCCAUUCUUUGUUUAGAAAAUCUUGUGAUUGUAGAGAAUAUUAGGGUUUAGAUUUUGGUUUGAAAUGUGUUGAUGUUAUGGCGAUAGAGUUAACUGCAAAAUGGAGAUUAGAAAUGUGAUGGAGUAUGAGACAGUUGCAAAGGACAAAUUGCCUAAGAAGGUAUAAGGAUCCCCAGGGAAUCAAAAUCUGCUCCUUGUCGCUCUUUUCACAGAAAAUGGAUAGGUGGAUUAAUCUCUUUAUUGGAUCCGUGGGGGGUGGGCAAAACUUAGCAAAAUUGUGAUGUUUAGUUUGACGGGUUUCAUCUGCUUCUUGCUCUGUUCUCAAAAUCUGCUCCUUGGCUUUUUUCGCAAAAUCUAGAAUUCCUGAUGAUUCCAUUUCCUUCCAUUCCCUUUUGUUAAAAGGUUUAAUAAACAUGUGGGACAACACAUCUGUUGUACAAUGUUCUACAUAAAAACUCUAAUUUUAGAUUCUGCAUAUCCGAUAUUUGAAAUGAGUGUUGCAAAUAUGACAUAAUUAAUUAUCAUAUAGGGUAAGGAUUUUGAGUCUUUUUUAUUAUCCAGAAACUAUCAAAACAAUGGGAUGGUGAGAAUGUAUAUACUGCUGAUGGGUAUCCUUACUUACUAGUGGAUGAUGAAAAAGGGAAUCCAGGACCCCUCCCCUAAGAAAAGUUACAAUCGUAACAAAGAUUGGCAGUUUGCUACCUUUUAGCUCAAUAAGGCAUUAUUUUUUUCUCCUUUGAGAUGCAAAAUUAGGUUCUUCUUGUAAGAAUUGAUUGGAGCUUAAGUGAAUAAAACAACUGCAUUGAAUCUAGCUGUUUCUUCAAAUUUCUCCCUGCAGAUUGUUCACAGUUCAGGAGCUAGGGAUCUGAUUUUUGUUCUCACUCUUCAUAGUGAAGCUUCAAUUCCCUUUUUUGUUCACAUGUUCUCAUUCUUUUCUGUUUUUGAUCUUCAAUUUGAAUUUUUAAUCACGUGAUUUUUUUUUUUUUUCUGUACACUUACUUUUUUCUCAAGGCAAUUAUUUUAGCAAAGUAUGUAGCUAAUUGUGCUAUUUUUACUUUCAAAUAUGGAUUUUAUGUCCAUUUCCCUUUUAUCUAAUUCAAGAACUGCUUGAAUUUCAGAUAUUUUUUUGCUGUGGUUUGUUGCCAGAGUAUUGAGAUCAAUGAAAGGUGAAAACAUGAAUAAAAGAUGAUGACACCUUCCCUCUCCCUCCCUCUCCCUCUCUCUCUCUCUCUCUCUCUCUCUCUCUCUCACGUCUAUAAAUACAUGCAGAAAAGAGAAGAAUUGAACUGUUUUUAGGGGCACACACACACACACACGUCUAUAAAUACAUGCAGAAAAGAGAAGAAUUGAACUGUUUUUAGGGGUUGGGGGGGAAGAAGAAGCUGAAUUGAGCCACUUCAGUGGACUUCUUGGCUCAUGUAUUUGUUGUGCUCACUUCAUUCACUGAUUUGGCAUAGUGUGUACUUUCUUUAGUUGUCAUAACUCAUGAUGAUUCUGAUCAGUUUCAUCAUAAUUGUGUUGAUUGAGGUACCAAAUCCAUGUUCUAUAGGUGUAGUGGUAAACCAACUAGCCUUACCCAAGUUUCCUUCCUUCAAUGCCUUCCCUAUAACAGCCUCCAAUUGGGCACUAAUCAUCAAAAAACAAAGCCUUUUGAUUUUAGGAUCUCCAACCCCUUAGCACCCGAUCAGCCUCUGUAAAAGAAGCAAACUCAAACAGGAACAAGGCUCCAAAUCCAGUUUGCAAGGGUAAUUCUACAAACCACAUCUAGGGGCAGUUUUUUCUGAAACACAGUUCUCCAAUGGAUUGUUUUAGUUCCUUUCCUGUGCUUUAGUCUCUUUGGGUUGUUUAUACUGCAUCAUUGUUGUUUUCUGCUGCUUGUAUAAUUAUUUGAAAAGUUAAUGCUGAUUUUGAACCAUGCCUUCUCACAGGAAUGAGGUGACUUGAGGAGCUCUUUAGAGGUGGAGAUGACAAAUAAGAUUGAAAGAUUUUGCCAUGUUGAAAUUUUUAGCAUCAGCUUGGUUAGCUAUCUAUUGAGCAUAUGUGUUAACUCAUUUGUAAGUUUCGUUUUGUGGAUUAUGUAUUAUUUAUACGGAUGAACUAUAUGGUAAUUGAAAUGUAAAAUAAUAUAGAAAGUAUGAUAUUUAUUCAUUUUUCUAAAUAAAUUCUCUGUAAUUAGUUUAAUUUAUAAAAAUGUUAUAUGUUUGAGAAACAGCAUCUAAAAUUGCGUUUCACAUAAUUAGACUUUCUUGAUGCAAAGUGCCAAGUCCUUCUUGAUGUAAGUUGCAUAGCAGCAGCUAAAUGAACCAUCUCGUGAAUCUAGGCAUGAACAUCUAUGCUAUUUUUGGUUCUUGAAAAGUACUAAGGGAAAAAAAUAUUAAGGAAAAUGAUUCUUUCAUGUUUGGUUUACCAUAUAAAAUACAAAAUAAAAAAAAAAAUUCAAAUACAUUUAAAAUUAGAUAAAAGCUUAUGCAUUUUCAAAUUACUUAAGCUUAUUACAGAGAAAGAAAAAUAAGUUUGAAGAAACAUGUAAAAAUAAUUUAUUAACUUUAAAUGUACUUUUUAUUUUUCUUUAUUUUUUCUUUCCUUUUAUUUUUCCUUUCUAUUUUUUUUUUCUUGCAUUUCUCCUUAAAUUUUCUAGGAAUCAAAUAUAAGGCUACAAAUUUUAUAGUGGUACUUGAUGUCGGUGAAAUCUAACACUAAAGCACAUGUAGGCAGGUUUUGGAUGGUGCACCAAUCCACUACAUCAUAUAUAUAUAUAUAGAAAUCAAUAAGAAUAUAUUAGGCAAAUAGAUCGACAAAAAAAGAGAAAGGGCGGCUUCUUAAGGCGGCAAUCCAUUUGACACUAUUGAUUGAGUUUCUUAAUCAAUAUUUCAAUAAAUUUCUAUUCGCUGAAUUAUGUCUCUAUCAGAUUGUUUGCCAUUACUUAAUUUAUUGAGGAGAUCAUUUUGUUUGAUUUACUUUUACAAAUGAGAUGGAUGUUAUAUUUGGGCUCAUUACUAAUUUGGAGAUUUUUUUUUAACAGAUCCAAGAUGGUUAUCCAUGACUCAACCUUAUCGAUUCACCAUGUCAUUUACAAUGUUGUGGAAUCAACCUCCUAGAACAACAGAAUCUCAUGUCUAUUCACACUACCACUUUCAUCAACAAUGUGGGAAUCAACCAUGGACAACAAUAAAAUCUCAUGCCUACUACCUUAGUGCCAUUCUUGCCCUUCUUACUAUCAAUGUUUCACUACUCAUCAACCUCACUGAUUUGAAGUUUCGGAAAGAGGCUGACUCUGUAUUUCAAGCUCAGCCCAUAAACACAAAGGUGGUUGUUGUUAGCUUACUAGCAUUUGUCUUGGCAUUUGGAAUUGAGUUAACCUUCCAUACGCGUCAUCUCUCUCCUACUUGUGCUGCUCUCCUCCGUACUACCAUGGUGUUUUUCAGUUCCUUCUCAUUGGCUUCAUUGGCAUCGCUUGUUUCUUGGGGCAUUAUGACCCCUUCUGUUUGUCAUCUAUGCCUUGCUAGCACUUUGCAACAUGCAAAACCUAGUCUAGAAAUGGUGUCUCUAGGUUCACCAUAAACUCGUGUACAACCUUGAGACUGUAUUGACAGGUAUGUGACAAUAGAAGCUGCUUUACUUUUACCCCCUAAUCAUAAUGGGUACACAUCAUAGAGUGCUUAUUGCUACAAUUUCAUGGGUUCCCCCUGUCUAAUUUCUCAAGAAUUUUGAUUGUAGUUUUUGUUAGCUUGAGUAUACAAUUAAAUAAGUAAAAAGAAUUGAUGCUUGGUGAAAUCUAGGCUUGAUUUCCAAAUAUUUAGAACCCAACCCACUAAAUCUAGAGAAGAAGCGUGGAUUUCUAUAACAAACAUGCAGCGACUUUGUUUGGUGCCUGACAUACCACUCCCAUGCCACAUCGAAUUGUAUUUCCUUAGAGGUUUGAAAGAAAUGUUGGAGUGGUAAUGAAAUUGUAUGUUGUUUUAAUAAAGAGUUCUACUUAUGCAUCUAGUCCUUAAUGAUCUUCAAGGAGCCUAAUUUCUCCAUAAUGUUUGCAUAUAUUUUUUUCCUAUUUGCUUCCAUGAUUGGGUAAAUUAGAUUUAUAAGUAGAAGUGUAGUCUAACAUAAUCGCUCUGGCUUCAAUGUUACCACUAUGAGAUAGAGGCAAAGAGUGUACAACCUAUUGUGUUUAAGUACUUUGGUAUACAUCUAAUUAAGAUCUUAACUAAAAGGGUGUUUUUCUCUAGCCAAGUUUGAGGGGUCCUUUUCAAUGCAAGCCUUCCACUUUUACCUAAUAGUAACAGGAACUUUAUAGAGAAAUGGAAAAAUUAAUUUAAUUUAAAUAUGAAAGCAGUUAGUGCUUUAGAUAGAUUGGCAAUUCUGGAUCAAUUCCUAUAUAUCCUCUCAAUUUAGUCUUUCAAAAUUUUCCAUUGGAUUAAUUGCCUAUUCAAAGGUGAUUAUGCUUAAGGUUGUUAGAGGCUAAGGUAAAUGGUUUGAGAUUGGAGAUGGACAAAUCGAACCAACAGUUUUUUAAAUUAUGGGUAGAUGGUUAAAUUUUGUAAUAAAAGAUCAAGGGUGUUAAAAGGUUUCAUUUUUUGGCCUAGUGUUUUUUGCUCUUUCUAAUUGAUCUAACAUCAAAGUUGGAUCUAUCAACGUAAAAAAUUCAUUGAAAAUAUUCUAAAUGAUUGUAAAGAUUGUAGAUGGACAAAUUGAAUCAACAGGUUUUUUUUAUUUUAUUUAAAUUAUGGGUAUCUUGAUUAAAUUUUGCAAUAAAAGAUCAAGGGUGUUAAAAGGUGUCAUUUUUUUAGCCUAGUGUUUUUUGCUCUUUCUAAUUGAUCUAACAUCAAAGUUGGAUAUAUCAACAUAAAAAAUUCAUUGAAAAUAUUCUUGCUGAAUUACAAUCAUUACAGUUUCUACUAUUUAAAGCUAAAUUUCCAAAUUAGGGUUUGAGGAAACAGAUUGGUCAUUAAGACUCCCUUUUUGAGCAUCUUCUUCUCACCAAAUUGGCAGUGUUUGUUUCCUAAGAAAAUCUACUCCCGUUUGAAGCUGGAAAACAUGUUUUAGUUUAGUUUUCUUUCAAAAAGGGGAUUGAUUAAUCUUGUCAUUCUAUCAUUUCUCUCAUUGUUGUUUGUAUAUUGGAAUGAAACCCUUACUUCUUGAUUGGGCAUCAAGAAUUUACCAAGAUCAAGUUUGGCGGUAACUCCAAGUUUGUCCUUGAUGAAGGUGUAUAGUUGAAGUUCGAAGGUACUUGUUAUGUAGUCCAAAAGAAGAUUGGUAAACUUGAGUUAGGUAAUACCUAGUUAAAAGGCUAUCGAGGCUUUAGUUAUUUUUUUUUUUCAUGAAGGAAUUUUUCAAUUGCUUGUGAGCUUGUGGUUUUUUGUUAAUUUAAAGAUCUUCCACAUAGUGUUUUAAAAGGCUAUUGGGGCUUAUGCCUUAAGGCUCAUCUCAAGGCGAGGCUCUGUAACUUAGCCUCGAGGCUUAUAGCCUUGGUUAGGGUAGCCUCAAAGCUUUUAAGGCCUAAGCCUCAAAUAUCCAAAAUUCAGCCUUUAUAGGCUUUUGGUAUAUAUCUUGUAAGAGGCUUAAGUCUCAAUAGUCGAUCAGUUUUAAUGGGUUCUAUCAUUUUUGCUUUUGUGGGCUUUUGAUAUAGAUUUCAUAAAUUAUGUAUUGAGUCUAACUUAGUUGCAAAAUCAGGUUAGUUGACUUCUAGUUAACAAUUUAAAUAGAAGGGAAAAAGAAAGAUCAAGAAGCAUUGGGGAAUUGUUGAUUGCCCUAAAGGCUAAUCUCAUGUAUAAUCACUAUCUUAUUAUUGAUGAAUAAAAAAUAAUACUACCACAAUUGGUGGACGAAGAAGAAGAAUAGGAAGAUAUUAACACUAAUGGAGAGUGUAAUAUAGCAAUUGGAUGUCAUUAUAUUCCUUAGGGGAUCCUACUAGUGAUAAUGAUAGUAAUGUUAAAAAUUAGUUGAUAAAACUAUGAAAGAGCAUUUGAUCAAAAACAAAAAUUAGAAACUAUUAACAAUGACAAAUAAUUAAUUUUAUCAUUAUAAAGUUUAUACCUUUUUUAUUAUUUAAUUUUCUUGCGACUUUAUGAGUAAUUAUUUUUUAAAUUUUUUUAUAUAAUUUAUUUAUUUAUUAUUUACUUGUUUAAGUUGACGUUUAUGCCUCAUUCUACCUUAUUUACCCUUUGCCUCAUUUGGGAAAAAUGCUUCAAGAACACCUUUAGCCUUUAAAGCAUUGCUUCCACAUAAAACCCUUGUGUCAUUAUCACUUUUUUUUUUCUUCAUUUGGUUAUUUUUAUCUAUUUAUCUAUGAUUGUGAAUUUUCAGCUGCUACAAUGAUUUGGAUUGUUGAUGACAUUGGCUGAAUUUUGUCCAUUGUGCUCUAAAAUAAUUUCAUAUUUGUCUAAGGAUUGGUUGGGCACAUGAAUAUUUGAUGCUUCUCAUUGAAAGGUUAAAUAGCUCUUGAUUGGGGAGUGUUGGUUCAUUGCAUGUGACUUGCAUUGCUUUAAUUGUGAGGAGAGUGUUAGUGCAUCCAUUCUUGCAUGUGUUUUGAUUGUUUGCUGAAAAUAUAAUAAGGUAAAAACGAGGAAAAAAAAAUCAAGGGAGUGAUAGCCCUUUCAUUGGGAAACAUCCCAAAGUUCAAAAGGCACUUAUUUACCUCUAUCUAGGUGUAAUCCAUAGUUGAUAUUCAUCUACAAAAAAAAAAAAAAAAAGAAUUGAUUGCUAAUACUUUUCUUUGCAAAAACAUUAUAUAGAAAUAAAAAAAUAAAAGCAAAUGGAACCAAACAAAUUUAAAUAGUAGAGGUUAAAGAAAAGGGCAAUCCAAUAAUUUAUGGAACCUUCUACAUUAUUGCUACUUGCAAGGUCCAAAGAGACUUGGAGAAGAAUGGAAACACUAAAAGAACUCUUCACGUGGAAUAAAGAACUUGGAGAAGAUUACAAAUAGGCACAAUCAUGUAAAGAAUUUCAGUUUUCUCUUAGGGGAGAGAGCAUGCAUGUGUCUAAGCUUCUAAUUAUGCUGUACUUCUACUUUUCUUUAAGUGUUGUGAGACGAGCAAAAACCUCAUCAUAAUCCGGUAGCUUUAGAUGUAUGUGGUUCAAUCAGUUCAACAUGUCUAGUUUAGAGGAAGUUGCAUGAAUAUGACCUUCUAUCAUCUCAGUUGAACUAGUUGGUCCCAAUAAAAUCAGUGCUUACUACCAGAGCUUCUAGCCCAAAGUUGUUCAGAGAAUGUCCUUCAUGAAGGGUGUGGUUCUUUAAUCAUGUGAGUCAACCACCAAAAAGGGAUAAUUGAUCUAAAAGGUUGGACGAUAUUCCUUGGAGGCUGCAAACCUUUUAUCAUGGGAGUUAACCUCCAGAGAUGGACCAUUGUCAAAAGAACGAGAGUUGAAGCAUAGACCAGUUCGAUACAUCCUAGCCAUCCAUGCUCAUCAACAACAUGAAAAAAAUUAAGGCCCCUAAGGGGCAAGCAUGGCAAUGCUCAAAUGAUCUAUGAAAUUGGCUAAAGGGUAUUAGGCUGAGAUAAAGUGAUGUUGAGGAUUAUGCUAAGGGAUGACUGGCUAAUGGGACUACGCCAUAUUGAAAAGCAGUGAAAGUCAAACCAAUUGGGGUUGGUCCAUUUUGAAUAGAUUUGUGAUACUACCUUCUGCAUAUCCCAAGAGGUUUGCACCUGUACAGGGACAUUGCUGUCAACCUCUCGACGGAUACUACUCUUGAUCAACAUAGGAUACUACUACUCUUGUUACCACUCUCAAACUAUCCAUCAAUAUUUUUCUUUGACUUAUUUAAGGAUAAAUUUGACUGCUAAAGAUGUUUUUCUUGAUCACUCAAAUAGAAUUAUUAUCAUGAGUUGCAUUAAAUAAAUGCAAGACAUGUUGAGGCCAUUCUUUAAGUCACAAUUUACAAGUGUAGGAGACUUGCACUUGAUGAAUAUGUGGUCAAGGAUGGGGCAACAUCAGAUGGUGGUCACAUGAAAAUAUUCUUGAGCAGAAAGAGAUUCCAAGUGCCUUACUCUUUGCUUAAGGUAGAUUUUGUAAGGUAGAGCAUACCCUGUGUUGUGCCUAUUGCCCAAGUCCAAUUAUAUUUGAUGGGACCUUGUCCAUUUGGUUUCUUAGAACCUGAAUUAUGUGGGAGAUGGUGAUUGCAGUAUGCCACUUCUCAAUCCUGAGAGAACUGUGGACAAUGUAGGUCCUCCAGAGUUUUGGUCUAAUAGACCGACCUUGGAAAAGGAGGCAAAGGGGGAAGAUUUUAUGUAGGAAAGGGAACUGAAAUGGAGAAAUUAUAUAAAUAACUACAACACAAACAUCCAUCCUCUAGGUACAAAACUCUUUGCAUGCUACUUUAACAUUUUUGUUCUUCAUUCACUUGCUCUAUUGCUUUAGGUUUUGUUGUUCAUUUUCUUUUAGUUGUAUAAUUGACAUGUGUAUGUACUCCUAGGAUUUGGGCAAUUCCACACUUGGGGCCUUGAUUCUAAUGGAGAAAGCAACUCAAUCAGGAAAAGACGAAAGCAAAGUACAUUUUCUUUAGAACCAAUGGAACCUGUUUGUUCAUUAAUACUGGAGGGGGGAGCCAGUAAUGCGACAUGAUGCCAGCCCAAGAAAGCACCAACUCAGCAUGAGCAGCAUGAGGAACUGGGCUCUCAUACAGGUAUUAUAUCUAUCAUCCAUCGGUAUACGUAGUAUGCAUAUUAUAUUUUAAUAGUGAUAUUAGAAGAAAAAUUAUCUGAUACUGUCCUUACACAUCAUAAUUUUGAGAGGUGGUGUAAUCAUUCAUUUCCAAAUCCCAACUAGGUGAACUUAGCUCUCACAACUUAAAACAAUAAAUAAAAAGGAAAAUUAUUCAGAUUUCAAGAUAAUUAAGUGAAAUCUUUGCUAUUAGAUAAAUAUUUUUCAUCCACCUCUUUUACUAUAUUUUAUAUCAUCCACUUACAUGGCAAGGAUGACAACGGGGCAGGUUUUCUUCUGAUACGUAACCAAUCUGCUGUUAGAUAGAAGAGUCAUAAACAAGUUAAGGACAAGUUCAAAAUUUUUUAUUUAUUGGGAAACCAAACUUGGGGAACCUGCAACUAUAUGAAGUCAGUAACAUGUAUCCAUGAUGGUUAAGGGUAAAGUUGGAGGGCUUCUUCUAAUGUGCCAUUGUUGCAUUCCUGUGAAUACAGUCUGUUCGUGCUAUCUUAUGCAAGUUGUCAACAGAGAGAGCAUGGGCAUAGGUGACAUAUAGAAGGGGUUGCCAUGCAUCUGAUGCUAGAAAACGAGUGAAAGGGAGAUAGAAAACACCAUGGGAGUGCAGAGGAGAGCAGCAGAAGAAGAAUGGAAAGUGAAGUCAAUUCCUAAUGCCAAGACAAAUGCUAGCAAGCUAGCAACAACGACCUUGGUGGUUAUGGAGUGGGCUUGAAAUGCAGAGUUUGGCUUAUUCUGAAACGCUCCAAAUCAAUGAGGUAGAGAAGCAGGGGGAGAAUAAAGGUUAGAAGGGCGAGAAUAAGGUUAUGUGAAGUAGAAAUGUGAUAGCGUAGAGAAUAUACAUGGUUGUGUAAUAAGAAGGGACAAGCUGAUGCGAACAGCUGGUAAAUGACACCGUGAGGAGAACCAUGUUAGUGAUGUGGUGCGUUUCAUGCAAACCAGAAAAGUGAUGCGGUGCGUUUUAUGCGAAAGGAAUGGAUAGGCACGCCAGCUAGCACUUAUUUCAUUUCUUUCUGUCAUUUCCUUAUCUUUUCCUUUCUUCAUUUCUGUUAUUCCUGUGAGAAGCGGCAUAGCGAUAUUCUCGGGA
This 9866-nucleotide long non-coding RNA is filed under the name Vitis vinifera (wine grape). RNAcentral's name for it is "long non-coding RNA (VVIN_LNC007153)". Lineage: Eukaryota; Viridiplantae; Streptophyta; Magnoliopsida; Vitales; Vitaceae. The record is from RNAcentral.